GAAGGAGGGAAGAAAGGAAGGAAGGAAAGACAGACAUAUUUUCUGUCUUUUCCUAUUUCCAGCUUCUGGUAUAGAGCUCCUAAAACCCUUGAAACUUCCUAAGUGAUAAGAGCAAUAAUAUCCACAACAAACCUCUUUCAACCACACCUGAGUUUUGUUAAUGCAGUCAAUGUAAUGACUUCUAGAAAGCGUGGAAACCUGGGGCUGGUUACCAGGGGAACCAACCUUGCGACUGGAGGAUUAGGAAUUUCAGUCCCACCUCUGGGGGGUGGAGAGAGAACUUGAAUGCUGAACCUAUCACCAGUGGCCCAUGAUUUAACCAACAAUGCCGGUGUGAGGAAGCCUCUGAAAAAACUCAACAGGCCCACGUUCUGAGAGCUUCCAGUUGGUGCAUUCAUGGACGUUGAGGAGAGGCAUAGACGCGCUGAGCGCUUUCCCCGUUCCUUGCUGUAUGCAUCUCUUCCAUCUGGCUGUUCCUGGGUCAUUUUAUAGCAAGCCGGCAGUAUAAACUGGACCAUGUGGUUUACGCCAAGAAGCAGUUUCUGGGAGAGGUCGUUGUUCUAACAUUUACAUGGCUACCUCGAGCAAAAUUGAGAUUCUCCUGAUGAGGAAAGUGGGAGCCCCCAAGGACAUGAGCUGUCGUCACCCAGUUCUCUGUGGAGAGACCAAGUCUGCAGCCCAAGCCCCUGAUGCCCAAGCUGGUGCCCAUUCUAUUGCAGCACCUUGUUGGGAGUGAUUUGAAAAUGCAAAGCUGAAUCAAGAGACUAGAAUGAUCUGCCCUCACCCUUUGGGGGAGGGGGUACAGAGGAGGGGAAGGCCAUCUCACAGAAGCAUAGCCCUUGGCCCAGGAGGAAAUUAACUGAACUCCCAGGACUGUGAUGAUGUGUGUGUGCUGGCAUGAAAAUGAGGGCCCCUCUUAGCGGCAGAUAGGGGAAUUCCUCUGGGUCAAGACUUUUAUUCACUCUAUGGUUUUUAAUUAGCAAUCCUGAUUUUUCCAAGGAUUGCAUUAAAUCAGCAAAUGCUUCUUGCACAACUUCCCACCCUCUAUUUACUCUUAGACAGUUCAGGUCACUAAAAUGUAGAAAAGGAAGGGAAAUUUGAGAUCCUGGUGCUUAAUGCAAGAAGAGAUGAAGGAAAGAGUCAUGAAAUGUCAUUUGGAAAUAUUUCGUAGAUGUUGAAUGCCCUCUGUUCGGGACAAUGACCGUGAUAGUUGUUUCAUUAAAGAAUGCUUUGUUCUGCUUGGCAUAAAAUGUAGCACUAGCUUUUGUGGGGUUGUUGGGUUUUUUUGUUUUUUUGGGGGGUUUUUUUGGCUGUUGUUUAAAUGAUGAAGUGAUGAAGUCAAUGAAAAUCAUAGACUGUCUGCUUGGCAGAAACAAAAUAAAGUCACAUCUGGAAACAGCUGCACUAGUAAUUAAAUGGCAUUUAAUGUGACUAAUAUCAAAAGGAUGGGUUUUUCUCCCCCUAGCAUUAGGGAGGCAAAAUUCAAGCUCCGGAGCUGCUCUAUGAUAAUAGUUUUGAGACAGUGGCUGUUUAGAACUCAUUCUGGUAUUUAUAAAGAAAAGCCCCCAGUGAGCCACAGAAGGGAAUUUGAGUUAGGGAAAAAAAAAAAAAAAAAAAGAAAAGAAAGAAA
Molecule: non-coding RNA, 1630 nt
Organism: Sus scrofa (pig)
Lineage: Eukaryota; Metazoa; Chordata; Mammalia; Artiodactyla; Suidae
Source: RefSeq, a predicted model, not a curated record